UCGAGAAUUUUUCUCAAUGGGCGAAAGCCUGAAGGAGCGACGCCGCGUGGGGGAUGAAUGGCUUCGGCCCGUAAACCCCUGUCAUUUGCGAACAAAUUAUUUUACCUAACACGUGAAGUAUUGAUUGUAGUAGAAGAGGAAGGGACGGCUAACUCUGUGCCAGCAGCCGCGGUAAUACAGAGGUCCCAAGCGUUGUUCGGAUUCACUGGGCGUAAAGGGUGCGUAGGCGGUCGGGUAAGUCUGAUGUGAAAUCUCCAAGCCUAACUUGGAAACUGCAUCGGAUACUAUCCGGCUAGAGGAAUGGAGGGGAGACUGGAAUACUUGGUGUAGCAGUGAAAUGCGUAGAUAUCAAGUGGAACACCAGUGGCGAAGGCGAGUCUCUAGACAUUUCCUGACGCUGAGGCACGAAAGCCAGGGGAGCAAACGGGAUUAGAUACCCCCGUAGUCC
This 448-nucleotide ribosomal RNA is filed under the name uncultured bacterium. Its description in RNAcentral is "bacterial SSU rRNA". It matches the Rfam family "Bacterial small subunit ribosomal RNA", at positions 355 to 796 of the family's 1533-position model. The record is from RNAcentral.